RNAcentral lists this non-coding RNA (46 nucleotides) under Trichobilharzia regenti. Lineage: Eukaryota; Metazoa; Platyhelminthes; Trematoda; Strigeidida; Schistosomatidae. The record is from RNAcentral.
GUAUUGCUGAAGAGUCCCAAAGUAGGACGAAACAGCUGUCCAAUAC